UACGUAGGGUGCAAGCGUUAAUCGGAAUUACUGGGCGUAAAGCGUGCGCAGGCGGUUUUGUAAGUCUGGCGUGAAAUCCCCGGGCUCAACCUGGGAAUGGCGUUGGAGACUGCAAGGCUAGAAUCUGGCAGAGGGGGGUAGAAUUCCACGUGUAGCAGUGAAAUGCGUAGAGAUGUGGAGGAAUACCGAUGGCGAAGGCAGCCCCCUGGGCUAAGAUUGACGCUCAUGCACGAAAGCGUGGGGAGCAAACAGG
RNAcentral lists this ribosomal RNA (253 nucleotides) under uncultured bacterium. Its description in RNAcentral is "partial 16S ribosomal RNA". It matches the Rfam family "Bacterial small subunit ribosomal RNA", at positions 524 to 776 of the family's 1533-position model. The record is from RNAcentral.